UGCACACACCGCCCGUCAAGCCAUGGGAGCCGGAAAGACCUGAAGUCCGUAACCGCAAGGAGCGGCCUAGGGUAGAGCUGGUGACUGGGGCUAAGUCGUAACAAGGUAGCCGUACCGGAAGGUGCGGCUGGAACACCUCCUUUCU
RNAcentral lists this ribosomal RNA (145 nucleotides) under uncultured Bacteroidales bacterium. RNAcentral describes it as "partial 16S ribosomal RNA". It matches the Rfam family "Bacterial small subunit ribosomal RNA", at positions 1382 to 1533 of the family's 1533-position model. Lineage: Bacteria; Pseudomonadati; Bacteroidota; Bacteroidia; Bacteroidales. The record is from RNAcentral.